UGGUUUCAGUUCAUGCCAGAACAGUAUAUGCAAAUCUACUGGCAUAGAUUUGAAACUUG
Molecule: microRNA precursor, 59 nt
Organism: Astatotilapia calliptera (eastern happy)
Lineage: Eukaryota; Metazoa; Chordata; Actinopteri; Cichliformes; Cichlidae
Source: Ensembl